AUUUAAAUAGUUUAGUUAAAAUAUUGAUUUGUGGUGUCAAAGAUGUGGUUAUUCACUUUAAAUA
RNAcentral lists this transfer RNA (64 nucleotides) under Nepsalus decorillus. RNAcentral's name for it is "tRNA-His". Lineage: Eukaryota; Metazoa; Arthropoda; Insecta; Neuroptera; Myrmeleontidae. The record is from RNAcentral. RNAcentral also lists the same sequence under 1 other name.